AUUUGACUCCCUACUAUAAGCACGCGUACGACAUCUCCUUUAAAAAAUUGUGGUGACAUGUUUUGCUUCCACCAUUUAAUCUGCUACGUAUAAAUUCGGCCGACGGCAAUUGUCGGUCAUUUGGGAACCUCUUCUUUGAGCUAUGAGAGUUGUACUCUGCGUCCAACCCACUGUAAGUGUAACAAGGAUUACUGAACUGGAUGAACACUAAUUGCCCUAAAAUUGGCUUCUUGUUAAAAGUUGAUGAUGAUAUCUAUGUCAAUAUUUACAAUCUUGCAAAGAUUGUCGAAUCCUACCACAAAUCGGGCAAUUUCUCUAUUUUCGGACGCAGUCCUAAUUCGGGAUUUCCUUCUCACCAUUACAACAACUUUGGACCAGUAAGAGGUGUGGACUAAAAGAUUUAGAUGAAAUUAAUGGACUUGUAAGAUUACCAAAACCCUGUCAGUAUGAAAUGACAUUCGACGCUUGGCCACGGAAUUCGUAUCCUGAUUACAUAAGUGGACCAGUCUAUUUGAUACACGGAAGUUCAAUCCUCCCUUCAAUACCGACAGCAUGUAUGCUCCUCCGCCAUUUGAUGACGAAUGUGAUGCAUGCUGGAAAUACCUCGCAUGGGACGAUUGGCUAUCACCGCUGUCCCAUAAACAGAUCGACAACUUUUACCGGGGUUCAACCAACAAGUCAUGCGACAGGCCCAAUGCUUCCAUCAAGUUCAAUUUCAGAAGCAAUUAUUCUACUUUUCCUUGAACAAGUGUAACUGUGUAAGCGCAUAGACCUACAACUUACUGCUGAUGUAGUAAAGGUUUACCCGGUUUACCUCGCCUAUCCGACAAUAAGUGCCAAGAACCCAACAGAUUCCAUACGUGUAAAAAGAUAAUCUCUUUAGCUUCGACUUUACGAGGUUAUUGCCUUAAAACUUAGGUAAGAAUGUGUGUUUCUAAAUUUUUCCAUAGCAUAUAGAAUAACAAAGGUUAAUAAUGAAAUAAGGCACACCUCUUAUAAAUGGUCUGUAGCAAACUGUACUGUUCUGCCAAACAUCUCGCUUUAUUUGUUUGAUUUCACUUCAAAGGAGAAAACAAUUGUUCCAUUAUUACGAGAUGCACAUAGACUACAUAGUUCAUUAUUUGUUUUGU
Molecule: long non-coding RNA, 1130 nt
Organism: Daphnia magna
Lineage: Eukaryota; Metazoa; Arthropoda; Branchiopoda; Diplostraca; Daphniidae
Exons: 3
Source: RefSeq, a predicted model, not a curated record